RNAcentral lists this ribosomal RNA (395 nucleotides) under uncultured bacterium. Its description in RNAcentral is "partial 16S ribosomal RNA". It matches the Rfam family "Bacterial small subunit ribosomal RNA", at positions 523 to 918 of the family's 1533-position model. The record is from RNAcentral.
AUACGUAGGGUGCAAGCGUUAAUCGGAAUUACUGGGCGUAAAGCGUGCGCAGGCGGUUUUGUAAGACAGUGGUGAAAUCCCCGGGCUCAACCUGGGGACUGCCAUUGGGACUGCAAGGCUGGAGUGCGGCAGAGGGGGAUGGAAUUCCGCGCGUAGCAGUGAAAUGCGUAGAUAUGCGGAGGAACACCGAUGGCGAAGGCAAUCCCCUGGGCCUGCACUGACGCUCAUGCACGAAAGCGUGGGGAGCAAACAGGAUUAGAUACCCUGGUAGUCCACGCCCUAAACGAUGUCAACUGGUUGUUGGGGAUUUAUUUUCUCAGUAACGAAGCUAACGCGUGAAGUUGACCGCCUGGGGAGUACGGCCGCAAGGUUAAAACUCAAAUGAAUUGGCGGGG